GAGGCUGUAGCUCAGGGGUAGAGCGUGUGCUCAGCGUGCACGAGGUCCUGGGUUCAAUCCCCAGCGCCUCCA
Camelus ferus (Wild Bactrian camel) is the source of this 72-nucleotide transfer RNA. It matches the Rfam family "tRNA". From Rfam's summary of the family: Transfer RNA (tRNA) molecules are approximately 80 nucleotides in length. Their secondary structure includes four short double-helical elements and three loops (D, anti-codon, and T loops). The record is from Rfam. Lineage: Eukaryota; Metazoa; Chordata; Mammalia; Artiodactyla; Camelidae.